Molecule: ribosomal RNA, 776 nt
Filed under: uncultured Neocallimastigales
Lineage: Eukaryota; Fungi; Neocallimastigomycota; Neocallimastigomycetes; Neocallimastigales
Description: partial large subunit ribosomal RNA
Rfam family: Eukaryotic large subunit ribosomal RNA
Source: RNAcentral
CGAGCACGCGCGUGUGGCAUAUCAAUAAGCGGAGGAAAAGAAACUAACAAGGAUUCCCUUAGUAACGGCGAGUGAAGCGGGAAGAGCUCAAAUUUGAAAUCUUCAAGGUUCUACCUUGACGAAUUGUAGUUUAUAGAAGUGUUUUCUGUUAGUAGAGUGGCAAAAGUUCUUUGGAAUAGGACAUCAUAGAGGGUGAGAAUCCCGUAUUUGGUCAUUCUUUCUAGCUUUGUGAUACACUUUCGACGAGUCGGGUUGUUUGGGAAUGCAGUCCAAAAUGGGUGGUAAAUUUCAUCUAAAGCUAAAUAUUGGCGAGAGACCGAUAGCGAACAAGUACCGUGAGGGAAAGAUGAAAAGAACUUUGAAAAGAGAGUUAAACAGUACGUGAAAUUGUCAAAAGGGAAGCGUUUGACACCAGUGUCGUUUUUCCGAAAAUCAAUUACGAAUGUUUUGUUUUUGAGGAAGUUAUGACUUCAUCGGCUUGCUCCUUUCUUUAUGAAACUUUCUUAAUGCACUUUUCGGUUAACAAGUCAACAUCAAUUUCUUUUGUUGUAAAAGGGUAUGAGGAAGGUGGCUUUCUUUUCGGAGAAAGUGUUUAUAGCCUUGUAGCCUCUGCAAUCGGAGAGAUUGAGGUCUGCAGCGUAGAUCCUUCGGGGUUAGAUACAGUUUGUGCUAAGUUAUAGCUUUUCAUAGACAACUUGUUGACUAUGUUAGUCUUGUAGCUUACUCGCUGAUGCUAUUUUACCUACGCUUAGGAUGUUGAGUAGCGACAUACGCAC